Molecule: unclassified non-coding RNA, 753 nt
Filed under: Hevea brasiliensis (rubber tree)
Lineage: Eukaryota; Viridiplantae; Streptophyta; Magnoliopsida; Malpighiales; Euphorbiaceae
Source: RNAcentral
GUCGACCUCUUCGGUGAAUCUCUGGUCAGGGCAUCAAAAUGGGUCAGCUGGAACACAUUCAAAAUAAAUUACACUCAUCAGUACAAAUGGGAAUAAUGGGACCGGGGAUCAAUGAUCCUGCAUUGCAGGAGAUGGCAAUGAUGGGGCUGGGUUCCACUGAUACACAAUCACUUCAGAUCUCAGUAUCAAGCAACCAGGCACAGCCACUGGAAAAUGUAAAUAUGGCUGAUAACUGUGUCUUGCAGAAAUUCUCAGUAUCAAACAUGCAAAUGGGACAGAUGGAUCCACAGGCAUACAGUCUGGCAUCAGAACAGUUCUUGUUACCUAGCAAGCAACUGGGAGAGAUGGAAACCUUGCAUGUUGAGCAGUGUGGGAUCCCAGCAGCCAUCAAUGUUGAGCAAGCGAAAGGCACCUGUAGAACCCACAUUCAGUAAUCCUGGGUUGCAGAAGUUAUCAAUGCCUAACAAGCGGGUUGCACAGAUAGAGAAUAGGCCAUGGCUGCAGAAAAUGUCUGCACCAAAUAAAUUACCAGUGCAGAUGCAAUCCCAGUCCAUUUCUAACAAUUCAGGUUUGCAGCGUUCACAAGCACCAUCUAAGAGAUCAACAUCUACCAAAGCUGGUCUGCAGCAGUUACCAGUUCAGAAAAACCAAAGUGGACAACGAUCUCCAAUGCUUCAAAAUGUGUCUUCCAAUUCUGUAAGGUCCAAGCUAAGGGAGUCAUUAGCAGCAGCUCUAGCAUUGGUUUCUCGGCGG